GGCAGGUAGCCUAGUGGUUAGAGUGUAGAGGAGGCAGGUAGCCUAGUGGUUAGAGUGUAGAGGAGGCAGGUAGCCUAGUGGUUAGAGUGUAGAGGUGGCAGGUAGCCUAGUGGUUAGAGUGUAGAGGAGGCAGGUAGCCUAGUGGUUAGAGUGUAGAGGAGGCAGGUAGCCUAGUGGUUAGAGUGUAGAGGAGGCAGGGUAGCCUAGUGGUUAGAGUGUAGAGGAGGCAGGUAGCCUAGUGGUUAGAGUGUAGAGGAGGCAGGUAGCCUAGUGGUUAGAGCGUAGCCUAGGUGGCAGGUAGCCUAGUGGUUAGAGUGUAGAGGUGGCAGGGUAGCCUAGUGGUUAGAGUGUAGAGGAGGCAGGGUAGCCUAGUGGUUAGAGUGUAGAGGAGGCAGGGUAGCCUAGUGGUUAGAGUGUAGAGGAGGCAGGGUAGCCUAGUGGUUAGAGUGUAGAGGAGGCAGGGUAGGCUAGUGGUUAGAGUGUAGAGGAGGCAGGGUAGCCUAGUGGUUAGAGUGUAGAGGAGGCAGGGUAGCCUAGUGGUUAGAGUGUAGAGGUGGCAGGUAGCCUAGUGGUUAGAGUGUAGAGGGGGCAGGUAGCCUAGUGGUUAGAGUGUAGAGGAGGCAGGUAGCCUAGUGGUUAGAGUGUAGAGGUGGCAGGUAGCCUAGUGGUUAGAGUGUAGAGGUGGCAGGUAGCCUAGUGGUUAGAGUGUAGAGGCGGCAGGGUAGCCUAGUGGUUAGAG
Long non-coding RNA from Oncorhynchus tshawytscha (Chinook salmon), 739 nucleotides. NCBI's taxonomy places the organism in Eukaryota, Metazoa, Chordata, Actinopteri, Salmoniformes, Salmonidae. The record is from Ensembl.